AAACCAACAGGGAUUGCCCUAGUAACGGCGAGUGAACAGGCAAGAGCUCAGAUUUGAAAGCCUUUUUGGCAUUGUAUUCUGAAGUCAGUUUCCUGAGUAUCGGUGUUUAAGUCUUCUGGAAAGGAGCGCCAUGGAGGGUGAUAGCCCCGUACGACACCUCACUCAUUGUAGGAUUCUGACGUGGAGUCGAGUUGUUUGGGAAUGCAGCUCAAAAGGGUGGUAUGCUCCAUCUAAAGCUAAAUAUCUGUGAGAGACCGAUAGCGAACAAGUACUGUGAAGGAAAGAUGAAAAGAACUUUGAAAAGAGAGUGAAAAAGUACGUGAAAUUGUUGAAAUGGAAGGAUAUGCCGCUAACAAUGUAGAGCCGUGUUUGGGGGGAAGACAAAAGCUGAAGAAUGUAUCUCUUUUAGGGAAUUAUAACUUCAGUCAAUAUUCCCAUCCGGGCGCGAGGACCUCAGGCUCUACUAAAUGGUGGUCUAUCACCCGUCUUGAAACACGGACCA
RNAcentral lists this ribosomal RNA (502 nucleotides) under Starmerella etchellsii. RNAcentral describes it as "partial large subunit ribosomal RNA". It matches the Rfam family "Eukaryotic large subunit ribosomal RNA", at positions 62 to 668 of the family's 3401-position model. The record is from RNAcentral. Lineage: Eukaryota; Fungi; Ascomycota; Dipodascomycetes; Dipodascales; Trichomonascaceae.